GACGAACGCUGGCGGCGUGCUUAACACAUGCAAGUCGAACGAUGAAGCCGGAGCUUGCUCCGGUGGAUUAGUGGCGAACGGGUGAGUAACACGUGAGCAAUCUGCCCUUGACUCUGGAUAACUGCGGGAAACUGUAGCUAAUACCAGAUACGACACCUUGGGGCAUCCCAGGGUGUGGAAAGAAUUUCGGUCAAGGAUGAGCUCGCGGCCUAUCAGCUAGUUGGUGAGGUAAUGGCUCACCAAGGCGACGACGGGUAGCCGGCCUGAGAGGGUGACCGGCCACACUGGAACUGAGACACUGUCCAGACUCCUACGGGAGGCAGCAGUGGGGAAUAUUGCACAAUGGGCGAAAGCCUGAUGCAGCAACGCCGCGUGAGGGAUGAAGGCCUUCGGGUUGUAAACCUCUUUUAGCAGGGAAGAAGCGAAAGUGACGGUACCUGCAGAAAAAGCACCGGCUAACUACGUGCCAGCCGCCGCCGUAA
RNAcentral lists this ribosomal RNA (482 nucleotides) under uncultured bacterium. RNAcentral describes it as "partial 16S ribosomal RNA". It matches the Rfam family "Bacterial small subunit ribosomal RNA", at positions 28 to 523 of the family's 1533-position model. The record is from RNAcentral.